This 837-nucleotide ribosomal RNA is filed under the name Enterobacter asburiae. RNAcentral describes it as "bacterial SSU rRNA". It matches the Rfam family "Bacterial small subunit ribosomal RNA", at positions 635 to 1533 of the family's 1533-position model. Lineage: Bacteria; Pseudomonadati; Pseudomonadota; Gammaproteobacteria; Enterobacterales; Enterobacteriaceae. The record is from RNAcentral.
GGCAGGCUAGAGUCAGAAAGAGAGGGGUAGAAUUCCCAGGUGCAGCGGUGAAAUGCGUAGAGAUGGGGAGAAACACCGGUGGAGAAGGCGGUCUUUUGGUCAAAGACUGACGCUGAGGUGAAAAAGCGUGGGGAGCAAACAGGAUUAGAUACCCUGGUAGUCCACGCCGUAAACGAUGUCGACUAGGUGUGUGGUGCUUUUGAGGCGUGGUUUCCGGAGAUAACGCGUAAAGUCGCCCCCCCUGGGGAGUACGGCCCCAAGGUUAAAACUCAAAUGAAUUGGGGGGGGCCCCCACAAGGGGGGGAGCAUGUGGUUUAAUUUGAUACAACGGGAAGAACCUUACCUACUUUUGACAUCCAGAGAAUUUCGCAGAGAGGCUGAGGUCCCUUUGGGAACUCUGAGCCCGGUGCGCCAUGGGUUUUUUCCACUUGUUUUGUGAAAUUUUGGGUUAAAUCCCCCAAAGGGGCCAACCCUUUUCUUUUGUUCCCACCCGUUCGGUCGGGAACUCAAAGGAGACUGCCAGUGACAAACUGGAGGAAGGUGGGGAUGACGUCAAGUCAUCAUGCCCCUUAUGACCAGGGCUACACACGUGCUACAAUGGCGCGUACAAAGGGAAGCGACCUCGCGAGAGCAAGCCAAUCUCUAUAAAACCGAUUUCAGUCCGGAUUGGAGUCUGCAACUGCCUACAUGAAGUUGGAAUUAGUAGUUAUUCCUGAUCAGCAUGCCCACGGGAAAUACUUUCCGGGGCCUGGAAAACCCGCCCGUCCCCACCAUGGGAUUGGGUUCCCCUGAAGUUACUGUGUUGUUGAUCCUGCUUCGAUCUUUAAACACCUGUCA